CAUCUUGAAGCAGCUGGGAGAUGGUUUCAUGGAUGUUCAUCAAACUACUCUUUUUGUGUACUUUUGAAAAUUUCCAAUGAAGAUCUUUAAAGUUGUGUUAUCUAUGAAUGAAGAAAUGAGCCAGCUGUGCACAUAAACUUUCUUCACUGAAAAAAGGGAGACUGGGAGUGGGGAUGUAGCUCAGUGGUAGACACCCAAAGUCCUUGGUUCAGUCCCCCCUCCCCCCAAAAAAAAGGAGCACGGGUCUGGAUUUCUCAGGGAGGAAGCCAGUCAGCUGCCUGGAGGCCACUCAGCCAAGUCUCACUGGCGCUAUUAAAGAAAAGCAGUCUCUGGUCAAGAGAGGUAGUGGAGGUAGAGGGAAGGCAGAGGCAGAAAAACUCAUUUGUAUUGGUUUUGGGUUUUUUUGGUUUUGGUCCUAGGGAUUGAAUCCAGGUGUACUUUACCACUGAGUCACAGCCCUUUUUAUUUUUUUGAGACAGGGUCUAAGUUGCUGAGGCUGGUCUCGAACACGACAUCCUCCUGCCUUAGACUCUCCCGUCUACAGGCGCAGCCACUGUGCUGGGCAAAUCCUGAGUUAUUUGACAGUGAAUUAUUCCAAGCAUCCAGGCUCCCAGGAUGAAAAUCAAACCCAAAAGUUAUUCCAGUGUGGGCCACCAGCCUCAUUCAUGGUCAUAUUGUCCCCAAAGACUCUUAAGACAUUUCCCAAAAACAUGAGUCUCUGGGGCUCGGGAUGUGGCUCAAGCGGUAGCGUGUUUGCCUGGCAUGCGUGCGGCCCGGGUUCGAUCCUCUUCACCACAUACAAACAAAGAUGUUGUGUCCGUGUCCGCCAAAAACUAAAUAAAUAAAUAUUUUGAAAAUUCUUUCUCUUAAAAAAAAAAAAAACAAGUCUCCCUUCCCUUCUUCUAAGGCUUCUAAUGCUGUCGUGGGGC
Molecule: long non-coding RNA, 929 nt
Filed under: Marmota monax (woodchuck)
Lineage: Eukaryota; Metazoa; Chordata; Mammalia; Rodentia; Sciuridae
Source: RNAcentral